CCUCGGGUGGCUGCAGUGGGGAAUUUUGGACAAUGGGGGCAACCCUGAUCCAGCCAUGCCGCGUGCGGGAAGAAGGCCUUCGGGUUGUAAACCGCUUUUGUCGGGGAAGAAAUCCUCUGGGCUAAUACCUCGGGGGCAUGACGGUACCCGGAGAAUAAGCACCGGCUCACUACGUGCCAGCAGCCGCGGUAAUACGUAGGGUGCAAGCGUUAAUCGGAAUUACUCGCCGGAAGGCUUGCGCAGCCGGUCUGAAAUCCCCGGGCUCAACCUGGGAACUGCAUUUGUGACUGCAAGGCUGGAGUGCGGCAGAGGGGGAUGGAAUUCCGCGUGUAGCAGUGAAAUGCGUAGAUAUGCGGAGGAACACCGAUGGCGAAGGCAAUCCCCUGGGCCUGCACUGACGCUCAUGCACGAAAGCGUGGGGAGCAAACAGGAUUAGAUACCCGGGUAGUC
This 450-nucleotide ribosomal RNA is filed under the name uncultured bacterium. RNAcentral describes it as "partial 16S ribosomal RNA". It matches the Rfam family "Bacterial small subunit ribosomal RNA", at positions 339 to 795 of the family's 1533-position model. The record is from RNAcentral.